UACCAGCACCCCGAGUGGUCGGGACGUUUAUUGGGCCUAAAGCAUCCGUAGCCGGUUCUGCAAGUCCCCCGUUAAAUCCAGCUGCUCAACAGAUGGGCCGCGGAGGAUACUACAGAGCUAGGAGGCAGGAGAGGCAAGCGGUACUCAGUGGGUAGGGGUAAAAUCCGUUGAUCCAUUGAAGACCACCAGCGGCGAAGGCGGCUUGCCAGAAUGCGCUCGACGGUGAGGGAUGAAAGCUGGGGGAGCAAACCGG
Molecule: ribosomal RNA, 253 nt
Filed under: uncultured bacterium
Lineage: Bacteria
Description: partial 16S ribosomal RNA
Rfam family: Archaeal small subunit ribosomal RNA
Source: RNAcentral